AUGUACUAAAUAGAAAGGGAUAAAGAGUUGGCUUACAAUUGCCACUUCACACAAUACAUAAAUAAUCCAUACAUCAUCCAAAGUACAAUCAAAGGUCCGACUACGGAACCAAAAUAAAGAAAGACAACCCCAAAUGCUAGAUCCCCGAUCAUCCCAACUGGGCUCUACUACUGAUCAACCAAAAAAGACACAAAACAACGAUCAAGAUUUUCAUCGAACUCCCACUUGAUCUCGGUGGCAUCGCUUGCACUGAUAUCAUCGGCACCUGCAACUCUUUGGAAGUAUCCGUGAGUCACGAGGACUCAGCAAUCUCACAUCCGGGAGAUCAAGACUAUUUAAGCUUAUGGAUAGGAGAAGGUAGUGAGGUGGAGCUGCAGCAAGCACUAAGCAUAUAUGGUGGCUAACAUACGCAAAUAAGAGCGAGAAGAGAAGCAACGCAACGGUCGUGAAUCUAGAAGUUAUCAAGAAGUGAUCCUGAAACUAUUUACGCACAAUCAUAACACAAGAACUGUGUUCACUUCCCGGACUCCGCCGAAAAGAGACCAUCACGGCUACACACACGGUUGAUGCAUCUAUUAUAUAAUUAAGACAAAAGGAAAACAAGCCAUCACAUUAAUCCACAUAGAUUACAUUAUCUCCACCAUUAAUUUUUUAAGGUAGCGGCUGAGAUUUAAAGAUAUUAAAAGUUACAUACAACUAUUGUAGGUACUAAUAAUUUGUUUGUCACGCACCACUGACACGCCUGUCAUCCUGAACAUGCCAGCCUUUUUAAUGUGUCCGAGACAACCACAAAUACCCGCCACACAAAAGGUAUAGGUGUACGAUAUAGUAGUUGUCAAAGAAGAGUAUACUAUAUGAAAUCUACUAUUCAUAGUUCCAAAUCUACACACGGACUCAAGCAAAGAACUCCACACGUGGUUGGAAUUCCAAAUCUAUACACACGGACUCAACCAAAGAACUCCACUCGGGGUCGGCUAACACGGACAAAAAGAGACACCUAGCUGGCCACGUCCAGCAACGCCCAAGAAGCCAAAACUUUUUUCCAUGUACUACAACACAAGUGAGAUCGGGCAUGAUCCAUAUCAUGCUCCACGUGAGUCUAAACACCAUGACAAAGUGUGAUGGAUGCAAAAAGGGCGUGAUUAGACGGCAUCCAAGAGCAUGGCAAACACCACACCAAAGUGCAAUGGAUGCAAUUAGGGUAGGAUUGGACUAUGUUGGAGGAGUGCAUCAUGAUGGACAAAGUACAUCCAGAAGUUCGCUACAUAGAUAUAGGGCUGCUUUUUGCCAGAGAUCCAGGAAGCAAAAUCUGCCCGACAAGCAGACCACCUACAAUAUAGAAAUCUGCCGAUGCCGUGAUGAAACAAACAAUGUGACGCAAAUCAGCCAAAACUGUGACAGAACAUGUCUGAACGCCAGCCAAACCUUCUGAGUUGCCGCCACGAUGAAACAAACGAUGCAACGCAAAUUAGCCAAAAUUAUGAUAGAUGUCACGACGCCAGCCGAACCUUCAGAGUUGCUGCCUCUCCUGAAUAAUCAAGGUUCGUAAAUAUUAUUUAGUGAAUUCACUUACUGAGGAUAAAAUCUAUGAGAUAUUAUCAAUUGACAAACCAUUUUCAAAUGGUUUUGCAGCCAAAGCACCAUGUCGCGUAAGAGUCUUAGUGCCUUAACAAUGAUAGGAGAAACGACACUCAAGUGAAAGUGACGAGAAUAUAUAUUCAAUCAAUCCGCCGACCGAUGAGCAUAUGAGCUUCCAUGGAUGAAAAUAUUUAUAUAUUUACUCCAUCCUUUUCUAAGUAUAAUCCUUUUAUAUAUUUCAAUACGGACUACGUACGGAUGUAUAUAGACAUAUUUUGGAGUGUAGAUUCACUCCUUUUGCUCCGUAUGUAGAACAUAUUAGAAUCUCUAGAAGGUAUUAUAUUUAGGAACAGAGGGAGUAUAUAUUUACAUGCUGAUUGUUCUAUUGUUUUGAACCACAAGUGCUAAUAUAUUGUAAUUGUUUGACAGGGCCAAGCUAUGCAUUUUACUGUCACCACUAAAAUAUCACGAUACUAUAAAUGUGGAGGAGGUUGAUACACAAUUGUUUAUCAAAGAUAAAAGAGAAUUAUGUUUAUGCACUUACCAUUUUAAAGUUGUGAAAGCAACAAAGUAUCACCAGUGGACCAAUGAAAUACAAAGGUAAGGAUCAUCAGAAUGUUUUCCUGAUUACUACUUCGAGUUUGCUUCCAAGGAAACUGUACAAGAACAUGCCGGGAAAGAUAAGCAAUGCUUAGGUUUACCUAUACUAUAUAGUUCCAAAUAAGACUCAACUAACUAAUCUUUCUAGAUAUGGAGUAAUUAAUCACCAGUUUUACACAUGCCGUUUUGGACUACUCGCCCAAAUGAAGCAUGUGGAAUCAAGACGAUAGGUCUGCACAGAAAAUAGAAGAAUAAAAAUAAAAAUGCUGAUUUGGCAUAUUGGUGAUGUGGAAGGCUGCAUGUUGAGAGAAUUGGGUGUAUGGGAGAUGAACUAUUUAGGUAUAUACGCUGACAGAGUAAGUGUAUAAUAACAAAGACUUUAAUUUUACUUCCAUCAUUGCAUUAACAUUAACUUUUCCAUCUUAAACUCUUCAUGAGUGAUAAAAUCAGAGUUACACUAUGGGGAAAUUCUACUUAUCUUUUGAAUGAGGAUGUACUCGAUAGCCAAACUAUCCUUAUUGUGACAUCAACAAUGGUGGAGUUUAGCAGUAAAUCCAAUAAAGUCACAACAUCUUCUGUUACUUUUAAAAAAAAUCAUGGUUAAAUAGGAUAGUGCCCAAAGUCAACCACUGCUGCAAGUAUAUACAGAUCUAGAUAUAUCUGCAACUCACAAACUUCUUGGCAGGUAUGGAACACUAUCUUUUAUAAUUUAUGAACUAAUGAAGCAUGACUCAUUUUUAUUAACCAAUGUAAAAUAAUAGUUAUACUUGACUUACUCCAUAUAUGGAGACACUCACCAGAAGAAACAUCGCCAAAAAUGACCGAGAUAGAUAGAGAAGUAUGCAAGGUACACCAGAAGAACAAAUGUUUUACCGAACUUACUGGAAUGGCGCAUGGUAACUAAGCAAAUUAGGUAAGGCAUCAGACUUCUUCUAAGAUAUGAUAUCACCACUUUUCGAGAACAACAAGACUCUAAGACCUGUAGGAACAAUUGAGUUAUAUCAGUUAUAACCUUAUGGAGCGAGUAAUGUGUCUGAACUUCUUUAGAUUGCUAACUUUAAUUUUUUGCGUAACUUAUUCAGGAUUUUGCGUCCAUGCCAAUAUCUACAAUAGAUAUGUUACAAAAAUAUAUUUGAUGUUGGUAUAUGUCAUGUGGUGAUAGUUUUCUGCACAAAAUAUAAUUGUAUGGUAGGCAUAGUAUUCAACUCCAAAUUAGUGGUUGUACAACUACUACAAGCUGCAAUUUCUUUAAUGAGGGUGAUAAAAGAAUCUUAAUACAUUUGUCUUGAACUUGAUGAACUCAUUGGAUGGGAAAUCUGAUGAAGCGCGUAAGAUUAUAUGUUAAUUAUGUUGAAAGUAAGUAGUAAGACAUACUAUUUGUAUUUACUGAUAUACAGUACGAAUACCUGGCAUCCAUUAAUAUAAGGAAGACUUAUUAGAUAACAGUGGUAUAUUUAUUUAUUUAUUUUCGAAAGCGGAGGCCAAAAGGCCUCAAUCAAUUAAUCAAGCAGAAGAGAAUUGCCAAGUUAAUCAGCAGAAAACUGGGCCAAAACUGUGAUAAGAGCAGUAACAUAAGCACUAUAAACGCAUGCCACAUUGUAAUUAUUUAAAUACAUUGGGACAUGCACUUUCAUGAGUUUUAUGUUCCUGGUAACAGUUCACCUCUCCCACGGUUUUUUUAGGUCAACGGAACCAUGAGGAAAGCUAGCUCCAACAUUAUAGCUUGGACCCAUAUUUCAGUUAGUACGUGUAAGCCGUCUUGCUUGGACUUAAUACACAUAUAAGUAAUAUAACUUGCUAAUAUAUGGUAACAAGAAAUAAAAAUACCUGUAGACAAUCAGCCGCUAUGGAGGAAGUAGGAAUGAUUGAAAUCUGUAGCACCUUACAUAGCUGGAAGCCGACAACACCAACAAUGAGGAAGCCCAUAGCUCGCCUCCACCUGCAGACUCC
RNAcentral lists this long non-coding RNA (4128 nucleotides) under Triticum aestivum (bread wheat). RNAcentral's name for it is "long non-coding RNA (TAES_LNC020701)". The record is from RNAcentral. Lineage: Eukaryota; Viridiplantae; Streptophyta; Magnoliopsida; Poales; Poaceae.